Molecule: ribosomal RNA, 492 nt
Filed under: uncultured bacterium
Lineage: Bacteria
Description: partial 16S ribosomal RNA
Rfam family: Bacterial small subunit ribosomal RNA
Source: RNAcentral
AUUGAACGCUGGCGGCAGGCCUAACACAUGCAAGUCGAAUGGUAACAGGAAACAGCUUGCUGUUUCGCUGACGAGUGGCGGACGGGUGAGUAAUGUCUGGGAAACUGCCUGAUGGAGGGGGGGAUUACUUGGAAAGGCUGACGAUAACACCUCAUGUGGCCAACGCGAAAAAGGGGGGCAUCUUGGGCCCUUGCGCGAUUGAAUGCGCCGAUGGCGGAUUAGCUAGUUGGCGGGGUAAAGGCCCACCGAGGCGACGAUCCCUAGCUGGUCUGAGAGGAUGACCAGCCACACUGGAACUGAGACACGGUCCAGACUCCUACGGGAGGCAGCAGUGGGGAAUAUUGCACAAUGGGCGCAAGCCUGAUGCAGCCAUGCCGCGUGUAUGAAGAAGGCCUUCGGGUUGUAAAGUACUUUCAGCGGGGAAGAAGGGAGUCAAGUUAAUACCUUGCCUCAUUGACGUUACCCGAAGAAGAAGCACCGGCUAACUCCGUG